AUGAGUCGACCUGAUGGGAUCAACAUCCCCGAUGGCAAGUUCUACCUUGGAGAUGCUGGCUACGCAUGUCGGCCGAGUAUUCUUCCACCCUUCAGGAAAACAAGGUACCAUCUCAACGAGUUCUCUGGUAGGAACUUUCCUAGGACUGCAUAGGAGCUGUUUAAUCUCAGACACUCCAGCCUUAGAGUAACUGUUGAGAGGGCAUUUGGAGCUCUGAAGAAUAGGUUUAAGAUCCUGGAUCAGAAGCCAUUCCACCCAUACUCCACUCAGGUUAAGCUAGUUCUUGCUUGCACUACAAAAAAAUACACUUCCACGAUGAUACGUGUUUGUCAUAGUAGGUCGCGUUUUUUGUCAUGCAUGUACAUCCAUGACAAAUUUAUAACAGAAUCAAGAUAG
RNAcentral lists this ribosomal RNA (396 nucleotides) under Triticum aestivum (bread wheat). RNAcentral's name for it is "partial small subunit ribosomal RNA". Lineage: Eukaryota; Viridiplantae; Streptophyta; Magnoliopsida; Poales; Poaceae. The record is from RNAcentral.